GAAUAGGUUUUGUGGUUGUGCCAAUGGUAUUUACUACAGGCCUGUUCCUUCCUUUUGGGGAACGUAUGUGCUCUUAGCUGAGUGUGUACGGGAUCCAAGACAUUUACUUUGAAAAAAUUAAAGUGUUCAAAACAGGCAACUUGCUUGAAUAGAUUAGCAUGGAAUAAUAGAAUAGGACUUGGGUUCUAUUUUGUUGGUUUCUAGGACCUCAGUA
This 214-nucleotide ribosomal RNA is filed under the name uncultured fungus. Its description in RNAcentral is "partial small subunit ribosomal RNA". It matches the Rfam family "Eukaryotic small subunit ribosomal RNA", at positions 651 to 864 of the family's 1831-position model. The record is from RNAcentral. Lineage: Eukaryota; Fungi.